Molecule: ribosomal RNA, 1253 nt
Filed under: marine sediment metagenome
Description: bacterial LSU rRNA
Rfam family: Bacterial large subunit ribosomal RNA
Source: RNAcentral
GCGUAAUAGCUCACUGGUCGAGCGAUCCUGCGCCGAAAAUGAACGGGGCUAAGCGUUAUACCGAAGCUGCGGAUAAAUUUAUUUAUGGUAGGGGAGCGUUCUAUGUAGGGUGAAGCGUUAGCGUAAGCGGACGUGGACAGCAUAGAAGUGAGAAUGUCGGCUUGAGUAGCGAAAACAUGGGUGAGAAUCCCAUGCCCCGAAACCCUAAGGGUUCCUCCGGCAGGCUCGUCCGCGGAGGGUUAGUCUGGACCUAAGGCGAGGCCGAAAGGCGUAGUCGAUGGAUAACAGGUCAAUAUUCCUGUACCAGAUGUGUUUUGAGAAGGGGGACGGAGAAGGCUAACCAGGCCAGAUGUUGGUUACUGGUUCAAGCGUUCGAGGCUUUGAGAGAUGGAGAAAACAUCUUGAGCUAAGGCGUGAGUACGAGCUGCUACGGCAGCGAAGUUGGUGAUGUCAUGCUUCCAAGAAAAGCCCUAUACUCGUUAAGACACAAAUGCCAGUACCCGAAACCGACACAGGUGGGGUGGUAGAGAAUACCGAGGGGCGCGAGAUAACUCUCUCUAAGGAACUCGGCAAAAUGGCCCCGUAACUUCGGGAGAAGGGGUGCCAGCGAGAGCUGGUCGCAGUGAAGAGGCGCAAGCGACUGUUUACCAAAAACACAGGUCUCCGCUAAGUCGCAAGACGAUGUAUGGGGGCUGACACCUGCCCAGUGCCGGAAGGUUAAGGAAGCUGGUUAGCUUUUAGUGAAGCUGGCGACUGAAGCCCCGGUGAACGGCGGCCGUAACUAUAACGGUCCUAAGGUAGCGAAAUUCCUUGUCGGGUAAGUUCCGACCCGCACGAAAGGUGUAACGAUUUGCGCGCUGUCUCGGAGAGAGGCUCGGCGAAAUAGAAUUGUCUGUGAAGAUGCGGACUACAUACACCCGGACAGAAAGACCCUAUGAAGCUUUACUGUAGUUUGAUAUUGUGCUCGGGCUCUGAAUGCGCAGAAUAGGUGGGAGACGUUGAAAUAGUGCUUGUGGGUACUAUUGAGUCAUCGGUGAGAUACCACUCUUUUAGAGCUAGGGUUCUAACGCUUACCCGUUAUCCGGGAAGCGGACAGUAUCUGAUGGGCAGUUUGACUGGGGCGGUCGCCUCCUAACAGGUAACGGAGGCGCCCAAAGGUUACCUCAGGCUGGUUGGACAUCAGGAGUUGGAUGCAAACGCAGCAGGGCAGUUAGCCAGUGGAACAACCAACAGAAAAAAGAGCAAAAGCAGUG